RNAcentral lists this long non-coding RNA (220 nucleotides) under Bos taurus (domestic cattle). Its description in RNAcentral is "long non-coding RNA NONBTAT007603". The record is from RNAcentral. Lineage: Eukaryota; Metazoa; Chordata; Mammalia; Artiodactyla; Bovidae.
CCUGUGCUGACCAUUCUUCACUUUUUAUGAGGUCAUUAUUUUAAAAAUAUAUGAUCAUAAAAGAUUUGUUUCAAGCAGUUCUGUUCCUUGAAUAUUAAAGUGUUUAGUUUUGGGGUUUGUUCUCUGAUACUCAUGCCAUGGAAGGUGUCAUGGCUGAGAAGGUUUCUUUAGAGGUGAUCUUCAAGGAUUGGUGUGUGUGUGAGGUAGUGGUGGUGGGGUU